This 506-nucleotide ribosomal RNA is filed under the name uncultured bacterium. RNAcentral's name for it is "bacterial SSU rRNA". It matches the Rfam family "Bacterial small subunit ribosomal RNA", at positions 19 to 518 of the family's 1533-position model. The record is from RNAcentral.
CUGGCUCAGGAUGAACGCUAGCGGCAGGCUUAACACAUGCAAGUCGAGGGGCAGCGGGAUGUAGCAAUACAUUGCCGGCGACCGGCGGAUGGGUGCGUAACGCGUAUGCAACCUACCUAUACAGGGGAAUAACCUUUCGAAAGGGAGACUAACACCCCAUAGUAUUGAUUUAAGGCAUCUUAGAUUAAUUAAAUAUUUAUAGGUAUAAGAUGGGCAUGCGUAUGAUUAGCUAGUUGGUAAGGUAACGGCUUACCAAGGCGACGAUCAUUAGGGGUUCUGAGAGGAAGGUCCCCCACACUGGUACUGAGACACGGACCAGACUCCUACGGGAGGCAGCAGUGAGGAAUAUUGGUCAAUGGGCGCAAGCCUGAACCAGCCAUGCCGCGUGCAAGGAAGACGGCCUUAUGGGUUGUAAACUGCUUUUACAUAAGACUAACCGUAUAUUUGCGAAUAUACCUGAAUGUAUUAUGAGAAUAAGGAUCGGCUAACUCCGUGCCAGCCGCAGC